UGACUAAUUUAUUUGAACUAUAU
Molecule: non-coding RNA, 23 nt
Filed under: Cricetulus griseus (Chinese hamster)
Lineage: Eukaryota; Metazoa; Chordata; Mammalia; Rodentia; Cricetidae
Source: RNAcentral